AACAGACGGGUAGAGAAAAAAAGUACACUCGCCUCAAGCCAAAGUUCGAUUUCUUCCCGCCGUGACACGGCCCACUUUCCUCUCCUGGUGUUUCAUCUCUCCUCCCAAUUCCAUCGCCCUCUUCGAUCGAAUCCUGCGCCGAUGUAGUCUCCUCCGGCCGGAUGCUCACGGCGGGGUCACGAACAAGCCGGCGGCGGCACCGUCUUGGUGGACGGCAGGCAAGCACUCGACGAUGCACGAAGUUGGGAUCAACGCAAUAGAAGAGGUAAAUAAACUUCAAUUGCAUUUGAGUUGGAACGGUUCUACUUAUUAUGUGCUGUGUCCAGAGCUGAUCAGGAUGACAGGGGGGACAUGGCAAACAUUUCCUAGAGCACCAAAGCAGAUCUGUCAUGUGAAGAAGAGUGACAAUGCUUAUUUCUUUUUGGUCAGAUAGCACUGUUCUUGUGAUAGACAAAUCCAUGCUGCUUCCUUCUUCAAUGCAGUGAUGACAGGUGCUAGUAAUUAGACUAUGGGGUUACACAGGGCAAUGCACCUCGACAAAUUAGACUCCAGAUUUCUAGUUCUCUUGGGUGCUUUAGGUCGUCAGCUUUUGUUGUUUAAGUUUAUUGCAAUCCAAUCAAUCACCUCUUCAUAAUCUCAUACUGUCUGUCUGACCAACUGGAUUAUACUGCAUUAAUUAUAUUCUAAGCUUCACAAGGAAGGCUGUUCAGGAAUCA
This is a long non-coding RNA of Musa acuminata AAA Group (dessert banana), 716 nucleotides long. RefSeq lists it as uncharacterized. The record is from RefSeq and is a predicted model, not a curated record. The transcript has 3 exons. Lineage: Eukaryota; Viridiplantae; Streptophyta; Magnoliopsida; Zingiberales; Musaceae.